GGAGCGUUGGCAGAGUGGUAAUGCAGCAGAUUGCUAAUCUGUGACGGAGAAUAUUCGUCCAUAGGUUCGAGUCCUAUACGCUCCGCCA
This 88-nucleotide transfer RNA is filed under the name Rickettsiales bacterium. RNAcentral describes it as "tRNA-Ser". It matches the Rfam family "tRNA". From Rfam's summary of the family: Transfer RNA (tRNA) molecules are approximately 80 nucleotides in length. Their secondary structure includes four short double-helical elements and three loops (D, anti-codon, and T loops). The record is from RNAcentral. Lineage: Bacteria; Pseudomonadati; Pseudomonadota; Alphaproteobacteria; Rickettsiales.